Pogona vitticeps (central bearded dragon) is the source of this 340-nucleotide non-coding RNA. Lineage: Eukaryota; Metazoa; Chordata; Lepidosauria; Squamata; Agamidae. The record is from RefSeq and is a predicted model, not a curated record.
CAAUGUUUGGAGGGAAGUCUCUGCCACCAAAGGAUUAUGCUACUCUCCUAUCUCUUCCACAGAUGCUGCUGCAUAGGUUAUCCUAGAUAAUUUCUUCAUGAAAAACAGACAAACUGAUUGUCGAGAACAAUCACUAAUUUUUCUCCUCUUAUUGAACAAGCAUUUGCAGCAAUUACAAGGAUACCAAGAAAUAGUCACACACCCCUGGUACCACCCGAAAGACACAUGAACUCUCAACAUCAGUGGAACAGGACUGCAAACACUAGGUGUCCACAGAUGAAAGAGUGAGGCCUCCAAAGUACACAAUGCAUCUAGCCUGCUUGACAAGUCCGUUGUGUCU